RNAcentral lists this ribosomal RNA (387 nucleotides) under uncultured microorganism. RNAcentral's name for it is "partial 16S ribosomal RNA". The record is from RNAcentral.
GAGUUUGAUCUUGGCUCAGGGUGGUAGGAACAUUGAGGCUGGGGCCGCCUGAGGCUUUGGCAUGAGGCUGGGGGGCUGAGGAGAGAUGUGAAACAGUUACACCGGGGGUGAAGGUGUCAGAGAGGCCUCUCAGUUUCAGCUUGAGUCGGCAGGCAGGCCAUGGUGGUGGCUGGUGGGGAAGUCACCACUGCCCCAGGCCAGAGAGGAUUGCCUCUGAGCCAGGGAUGUCCAGGGCUGCCUCUGAGAGAGGUACAGGUGGGAGUGGACACGGGCAGGUCAACCACUGUCCCUGCCCCAUGACCCCGACACAGGUCAGAUGACCCAGAUGUGGGGGCCAGGCAGGAGCAGUUGAGGGGCCAGGCUAUCAGCUGAGUCGAAAGUUGGGGA